UACGGGGGGGGCAAGCGUUGUUCGGAAUUACUGGGCGUAAAGGGCUCGUAGGCGGCCAACUAAGUCAGACGUGAAAUCCCUCGGCUUAACCGGGGAACUGCGUCUGAUACUGGAUGGCUUGAGAUUGGGAGAGGGAUGCGGAAUUCCAGGUGUAGCGGUGAAAUGCGUAGAUAUCUGGAGGAACACCGGUGGCGAAGGCGGCUUACUGGGUCUUUUCUGACGCUGAGGCACGAAAGCCAGGGGAGCGAACGGG
This 253-nucleotide ribosomal RNA is filed under the name uncultured bacterium. Its description in RNAcentral is "partial 16S ribosomal RNA". It matches the Rfam family "Bacterial small subunit ribosomal RNA", at positions 524 to 776 of the family's 1533-position model. The record is from RNAcentral.